AUUGAACGCUGGCGGCAGGCUUAACACAUGCGAGUCGAGCGGGGGAAGGUAGCUUGCUACCGGACCUAGCGGCGGACGGGUGAGUAAUGCUUAGGAAUCUGCCUAUUAGUGGGGGACAACAUCUCGAAAGGGAUGCUAAUACCGCAUACGUCCUACGGGAGAAAGCAGGGGAUCUUCGGACCUUGCGCUAAUAGAUGAGCCUAAGUCAGAUUAGCUAGUUGGUGGGGUAAAGGCCUACCAAGGCGACGAUCUGUAGCGGGUCUGAGAGGAUGAUCCGCCACCAUGGGACUGAGACACGGCCCAGACGCCUACGGGAGGCAGCAGUGGGGAAUAUUGGACAAUGGGGGGAACCCUGAUCCAGCCAUGCCGCGUGUGUGAAGAAGGCCUUAUGGUUGUAAAGCACUUUAAGCGAGGAGGAGGCUACUUUAGUUAAUACCUAGAGAUAGUGGACGUUACUCGCAGAAUAAGCACCGGCUAACUCUGUGCCAGCAGCCGCCGUAA
RNAcentral lists this ribosomal RNA (501 nucleotides) under uncultured bacterium. RNAcentral describes it as "partial 16S ribosomal RNA". It matches the Rfam family "Bacterial small subunit ribosomal RNA", at positions 30 to 523 of the family's 1533-position model. The record is from RNAcentral.